GUGCUCACUUUGGUGGCACAUACAAUAAAAUUGGAAAGAUACAGAGAUUAGCAUGACCCCCUGCACAAAGAUGACACACGCAUUCAUGAAACUGUCCAUAAAAAA
Molecule: small nuclear RNA, 105 nt
Organism: Macaca fascicularis (crab-eating macaque)
Lineage: Eukaryota; Metazoa; Chordata; Mammalia; Primates; Cercopithecidae
Source: Ensembl